AGAACGAACGCUGGCGGCGCGUUUAAGCAUGCAAGUCGAGCGGCAAGGGCCUUCGGGCCCCUAGAGCGGCGGACGGGUGAGUAACACGUGGACAAUCUGCCCCCCGGCCCGGGAUAGCCCAGGGAAACCUGGAUUAAUACCGGAUGAGACGGGACCCGCGAUGGCGGGACCCGGGAAAGGCGCUGCGGCGCCGCCGGGGGAUGAGUCUGCGUCCCAUUAGCUAGACGGCGGGGUAACGGCCCACCGUGGCGACGAUGGGUAGCCGGCCUGAGAGGGUGGACGGCCACAUUGGAACUGAGACACGGUCCAGACUCCUACGGGAGGCAGCAGCUAAGAAUCUUCCGCAAUGGGCGAAAGCCUGACGGAGCCGACGCCGCGUGAACGAAGAAGGCCGUGAGGUUGUAAAGUUCUUUUCGGGAGGGGGAACAACCGUGGCAGGGAAUGGCCGCGGGAUGACGUGAAUCCCGGAAUAAGCCCCGGCUAACUACGUGCCAGCCGCCGC
Molecule: ribosomal RNA, 502 nt
Filed under: uncultured bacterium
Lineage: Bacteria
Description: bacterial SSU rRNA
Rfam family: Bacterial small subunit ribosomal RNA
Source: RNAcentral